RNAcentral lists this ribosomal RNA (2906 nucleotides) under Escherichia coli. RNAcentral's name for it is "23S ribosomal RNA". It matches the Rfam family "Bacterial large subunit ribosomal RNA". Lineage: Bacteria; Pseudomonadati; Pseudomonadota; Gammaproteobacteria; Enterobacterales; Enterobacteriaceae. The record is from RNAcentral.
GGUUAAGCGACUAAGCGUACACGGUGGAUGCCCUGGCAGUCAGAGGCGAUGAAGGACGUGCUAAUCUGCGAUAAGCGUCGGUAAGGUGAUAUGAACCGUUAUAACCGGCGAUUUCCGAAUGGGGAAACCCAGUGUGUUUCGACACACUAUCAUUAACUGAAUCCAUAGGUUAAUGAGGCGAACCGGGGGAACUGAAACAUCUAAGUACCCCGAGGAAAAGAAAUCAACCGAGAUUCCCCCAGUAGCGGCGAGCGAACGGGGAGCAGCCCAGAGCCUGAAUCAGUGUGUGUGUUAGUGGAAGCGUCUGGAAAGGCGCGCGAUACAGGGUGACAGCCCCGUACACAAAAAUGCACAUGCUGUGAGCUCGAUGAGUAGGGCGGGACACGUGGUAUCCUGUCUGAAUAUGGGGGGACCAUCCUCCAAGGCUAAAUACUCCUGACUGACCGAUAGUGAACCAGUACCGUGAGGGAAAGGCGAAAAGAACCCCGGCGAGGGGAGUGAAAAAGAACCUGAAACCGUGUACGUACAAGCAGUGGGAGCACGCUUAGGCGUGUGACUGCGUACCUUUUGUAUAAUGGGUCAGCGACUUAUAUUCUGUAGCAAGGUUAACCGAAUAGGGGAGCCGAAGGGAAACCGAGUCUUAACUGGGCGUUAAGUUGCAGGGUAUAGACCCGAAACCCGGUGAUCUAGCCAUGGGCAGGUUGAAGGUUGGGUAACACUAACUGGAGGACCGAACCGACUAAUGUUGAAAAAUUAGCGGAUGACUUGUGGCUGGGGGUGAAAGGCCAAUCAAACCGGGAGAUAGCUGGUUCUCCCCGAAAGCUAUUUAGGUAGCGCCUCGUGAAUUCAUCUCCGGGGGUAGAGCACUGUUUCGGCAAGGGGGUCAUCCCGACUUACCAACCCGAUGCAAACUGCGAAUACCGGAGAAUGUUAUCACGGGAGACACACGGCGGGUGCUAACGUCCGUCGUGAAGAGGGAAACAACCCAGACCGCCAGCUAAGGUCCCAAAGUCAUGGUUAAGUGGGAAACGAUGUGGGAAGGCCCAGACAGCCAGGAUGUUGGCUUAGAAGCAGCCAUCAUUUAAAGAAAGCGUAAUAGCUCACUGGUCGAGUCGGCCUGCGCGGAAGAUGUAACGGGGCUAAACCAUGCACCGAAGCUGCGGCAGCGACGCUGAUGCGUUGUUGGGUAGGGGAGCGUUCUGUAAGCCUGCGAAGGUGUGCUGUGAGGCAUGCUGGAGGUAUCAGAAGUGCGAAUGCUGACAUAAGUAACGAUAAAGCGGGUGAAAAGCCCGCUCGCCGGAAGACCAAGGGUUCCUGUCCAACGUUAAUCGGGGCAGGGUGAGUCGACCCCUAAGGCGAGGCCGAAAGGCGUAGUCGAUGGGAAACAGGUUAAUAUUCCUGUACUUGGUGUUACUGCGAAGGGGGGACGGAGAAGGCUAUGUUGGCCGGGCGACGGUUGUCCCGGUUUAAGCGUGUAGGCUGGUUUUCCAGGCAAAUCCGGAAAAUCAAGGCUGAGGCGUGAUGACGAGGCACUACGGUGCUGAAGCAACAAAUGCCCUGCUUCCAGGAAAAGCCUCUAAGCAUCAGGUAACAUCAAAUCGUACCCCAAACCGACACAGGUGGUCAGGUAGAGAAUACCAAGGCGCUUGAGAGAACUCGGGUGAAGGAACUAGGCAAAAUGGUGCCGUAACUUCGGGAGAAGGCACGCUGAUAUGUAGGUGAAGUCCCUUGCGGAUGGAGCUGAAAUCAGUCGAAGAUACCAGCUGGCUGCAACUGUUUAUUAAAAACACAGCACUGUGCAAACACGAAAGUGGACGUAUACGGUGUGACGCCUGCCCGGUGCCGGAAGGUUAAUUGAUGGGGUUAGCCGCAAGGCGAAGCUCUUGAUCGAAGCCCCGGUAAACGGCGGCCGUAACUAUAACGGUCCUAAGGUAGCGAAAUUCCUUGUCGGGUAAGUUCCGACCUGCACGAAUGGCGUAAUGAUGGCCAGGCUGUCUCCACCCGAGACUCAGUGAAAUUGAACUCGCUGUGAAGAUGCAGUGUACCCGCGGCAAGACGGAAAGACCCCGUGAACCUUUACUAUAGCUUGACACUGAACAUUGAGCCUUGAUGUGUAGGAUAGGUGGGAGGCUUAGAAGUGUGGACGCCAGUCUGCAUGGAGCCGACCUUGAAAUACCACCCUUUAAUGUUUGAUGUUCUAACGUUGACCCGUAAUCCGGGUUGCGGACAGUGUCUGGUGGGUAGUUUGACUGGGGCGGUCUCCUCCUAAAGAGUAACGGAGGAGCACGAAGGUUGGCUAAUCCUGGUCGGACAUCAGGAGGUUAGUGCAAUGGCAUAAGCCAGCUUGACUGCGAGCGUGACGGCGCGAGCAGGUGCGAAAGCAGGUCAUAGUGAUCCGGUGGUUCUGAAUGGAAGGGCCAUCGCUCAACGGAUAAAAGGUACUCCGGGGAUAACAGGCUGAUACCGCCCAAGAGUUCAUAUCGACGGCGGUGUUUGGCACCUCGAUGUCGGCUCAUCACAUCCUGGGGCUGAAGUAGGUCCCAAGGGUAUGGCUGUUCGCCAUUUAAAGUGGUACGCGAGCUGGGUUUAGAACGUCGUGAGACAGUUCGGUCCCUAUCUGCCGUGGGCGCUGGAGAACUGAGGGGGGCUGCUCCUAGUACGAGAGGACCGGAGUGGACGCAUCACUGGUGUUCGGGUUGUCAUGCCAAUGGCACUGCCCGGUAGCUAAAUGCGGAAGAGAUAAGUGCUGAAAGCAUCUAAGCACGAAACUUGCCCCGAGAUGAGUUCUCCCUGACCCUUUAAGGGUCCUGAAGGAACGUUGAAGACGACGACGUUGAUAGGCCGGGUGUGUAAGCGCAGCGAUGCGUUGAGCUAACCGGUACUAAUGAACCGUGAGGCUUAACCUU